UACGAAGGGGGCUAGCGUUGCUCGGAAUCACUGGGCGUAAAGCGCACGUAGGCGGAUCUUUAAGUCAGGGGUGAAAUCCUGGAGCUCAACUCCAGAACUGCCCUUGAUACUGGGGAUCUUGAGUCCGGAAGAGGUGAGUGGAACCCCGAGUGUAGAGGUGAAAUUCGUAGAUAUUCGGAAGAACACCAGUGGCGAAGGCGGCUCACUGGUCCGGUACUGACGCUGAGGUGCGAAAGCGUGGGGAGCAAACAGG
Molecule: ribosomal RNA, 253 nt
Filed under: uncultured bacterium
Lineage: Bacteria
Description: partial 16S ribosomal RNA
Rfam family: Bacterial small subunit ribosomal RNA
Source: RNAcentral